This 1296-nucleotide ribosomal RNA is filed under the name Myrmekiaphila neilyoungi. Its description in RNAcentral is "partial 16S large subunit ribosomal RNA". Lineage: Eukaryota; Metazoa; Arthropoda; Arachnida; Araneae; Euctenizidae. The record is from RNAcentral.
UCAGAGGAAUUUGUCUAUUUAUCGUAAUUACUCGUUUAGUUUUACUUUUUUUUUAUUUUCUAUACCGCCGUCUUAAGAUAAAACUUUGAAAUCUUAUCUCAAGCUUUUUUGGUAAGUCAGGUCAAGGUGGAGAUUAUAUAAGAGUUUAGAUUAAUUAUUCAUAAAUAUUAUUUAAAGCUGGUUUUCCAAAGAAAACCAUAAAUAAAGAUUUGAAAGUAGUUUUUUAUUAAAAAUUUAAGACAAACUUGUUUUUAGGUGUACAUAUCGCCCGUCACCCUCGUCUAAAGAUGAGGUAAGUCGUAACAUAGUUAGUGUACUGGAAAGUGUACUAAGGGGAAUUAAAAGCUUUAGCGUUUCAUUUACACAGAAAAGAAUAUCACUAAAAUUUUGUUUUUAUUCUUUAUUAAAAUAAUAUAGAUUAUUAUUAAAUUCUUAUCUUUUUUUCAUUACCGUUAGGGUUUGUAAAUCAUAUUUAAGAAAUCUUCUUAGUUUACCUUUUGUAUCAGGGUGUUUCAAAAUUACUCUUUUUAAAGAUCUUCCCGAAAUAAAAUGAGCUACUUUGUUUUUUAUAUUUUGUAGCAAAAAAAUAGUAAAAUCCUAGUAGAAGUGAAAUUCCAUUCGCAUUUUUUUAUAUCUGGUUUUUUUAAAAAGUAAAACUACUUAAACCUAAAAAGGGAUAAUCUUUUUUAAAUAUUUUCUUUCUCUUUUCUUAUCUUUUUAGGAUUAGAAGUGUCUUUCUGUGUAAAAACUCCUUAUUAUUUUUUUUAUAAAUCUUUUUAUAAAAUUUGUAUCUUUUUAUAAAAAUAAUGAUCUAAUCAGUAAAGAUUCUUUAAAAUAUCUUUUUUUAAAAUAUUCAAAACACUUUUCUUAAUUUUUAUUUAUAAACUCGGCCGAGUUGUCUGUCUGUUUACCAAAAACAUUUCUGAAUGCUUAUUUUCUUUCAGUAAGGCCUGCUCAAUGAAACAUUAAAUAGCCGCAAUUACGUGCUAAGGUAGCAUAAUCACUUGCCUUAUAAUUUAAGGCUAGAAUGAAAGGUUCAACAUGAUAACUUCUUUAUUAAUAAAAAUUCUCUAACUUUACUUAUAAGUAAAAAGGCUUAUAUUUUUUAUGGGGACGACAAGACCCUGACGAGCUUUACUUUUCAGUUGCACUGGGGUGGUAAAAAACUAAAUCUUUUUUUCUCAUUAUUUUCUAACCUUACUAUAAGAUUUUUAAGUUACCGCAGGGAUAACAGCAUAAUUUUUUUCUAGAGACCUUAUCUAAAAAAAAGAUUGUGACCUCGAUGUUGAAUUAAUU